This 270-nucleotide ribosomal RNA is filed under the name uncultured bacterium. RNAcentral's name for it is "partial 16S ribosomal RNA". It matches the Rfam family "Bacterial small subunit ribosomal RNA", at positions 335 to 622 of the family's 1533-position model. The record is from RNAcentral.
AGCCUACGGGAGGCAGCAGUGGGGGAUAUUGCACAAUGGGGGGAACCCUGAUGCAGCGACGCCGCGUGGGUGAAGAAGCGCCCCGGCGCGUAAAGCCCUGUCCGCAGGGAAGAAGUAGGACGGUACCUGACCAAGAAGCCCCGGCUAACUACGUGCCAGCAGCCGCGGUAAUACGUAGGGGGCAAGCGUUAUCCGGAUUUACUGGGCGUAAAGGGGGCGCAUACGGCGAUGCAAGCCAGGAGUGAAAGCCCGGCGCCCAACGCCGGGACU